GCCAGGCGUGGUGGCACGUGUCUGUAGUCCCAGCAAUAGCGGGAGGCUGAGGCUGGAGGAUCUCUUGAGUCCAGGAGUUCUGGGCUGUAGUGCGCUAUGCUGAUCGGGUGUCCACACUAAGUUCGGCAUCAAUAUGGUGACCUCCCGGGAGCGGGGGACCACCAGGUUGCCUAAGGAGGGGUGAACCGGCCCAGGUCGGAAAAGGAGCAGGUCAGAACUCCCUUGCUGAUCAGUAGUGGGAUCGCGCCUUUGAAUAGCCACUGCACUCCAGCCUAGGCAACAUAGUGAGACCCUGUCUCU
This 300-nucleotide signal recognition particle RNA is filed under the name Aotus nancymaae (Ma's night monkey). RNAcentral's name for it is "Metazoan signal recognition particle RNA (ENSANAG00000015185.1)". It matches the Rfam family "Metazoan signal recognition particle RNA". Rfam says of the family: The signal recognition particle (SRP) is a universally conserved ribonucleoprotein. Lineage: Eukaryota; Metazoa; Chordata; Mammalia; Primates; Aotidae. The record is from RNAcentral.